AUAUCCUUGUAUGAAGGCGGUAAUGUAAUUUAUCUCUAAACAAACCACCACAGCUGAACUAAAGAACGUUGUUCCUUUGAUUUUACAUCUAUCAUUUCUAGCUAAUAAAUUAAAAAAUUUAUUAGUGGAUCUACAUCGUAUUGUUAUCAUUUGUAAGACGAUAGGUAAUCAGAACAUGUGACAUAUAGUAAUUCGUA
Molecule: non-coding RNA, 197 nt
Organism: Schizosaccharomyces pombe (fission yeast)
Lineage: Eukaryota; Fungi; Ascomycota; Schizosaccharomycetes; Schizosaccharomycetales; Schizosaccharomycetaceae
Source: the annotation of a GenBank genome assembly